CCCUUAGAUGUCCUGGGCCGCACGCGCGCUACACUGAUGCAUGCAACGAGUUUAUAACCUUGGCCUGAAAGGUCUGGGUAAUCUUUUGAACGUGCAUCGUGAUAGGGAUAGAUUAUUGCAAUUGUUAAUCUUGAACGAGGAAUUCCUAGUAAACGCGAGUCAUCAGCUCGCAUUGAUUACGUCCCUGCCCUGUGUACACACCGCCCGUCGCACCUACCGAUUGAAUGGUUCGGUGAAGAUCUCGGACUUCGAUAUUUAUUCUUUAUUGAGUUUAUAUUGUGGGAAGUUAUCUAAACCUCAUCAUUUAGAGGAAGGUGAAGUCGUAACA
RNAcentral lists this ribosomal RNA (328 nucleotides) under uncultured eukaryote. Its description in RNAcentral is "partial 18S ribosomal RNA". It matches the Rfam family "Eukaryotic small subunit ribosomal RNA", at positions 1470 to 1796 of the family's 1831-position model. The record is from RNAcentral.